ACACACACACACACACACACACAGAUAGGGAGGUAGAGACAGACACACACACACACACACACACACAGAUAGGGAGGUAGAGACAGACACACACACACACACACACACAGAUAGGGAGGUAGAGACAGACACACACACACACAGAUUGGGAGGUAGAGACAGAGACACACACACACACACAGAUAGGGAGGUAGAGACACACACACACACACACACAGAUAGGGAGGUAGAGACAGACACACACACACACACACACACACACACAGAUAGGGAGGUAGAGACAGAC
This is a long non-coding RNA of Esox lucius (northern pike), 286 nucleotides long. The record is from Ensembl. Lineage: Eukaryota; Metazoa; Chordata; Actinopteri; Esociformes; Esocidae.